UGCCCGGCCCCACGUCGACGGAAGUGGCGCUGGCGAUCGGACAGAAGCGAGCCGGCACGCGAGGGCUACUCCUGGCGGGGCUUGGGUUCAUCGCCCCUGCCGUGCUGGCGGUCCUCGCGAUCGCCAUGGUCUACCAGCGCCUCGGGAGCCGGCCCGAAUUCGGCUGGAUCCUGUACGGCAUCCAACCGGUGGUCGUGGCCGUCGUCGCGGUUGCCGUCGCCACCCUCGCCCCGACGGCGCUCCGUGGACCGAUCACGAUCGUGCUGGCGGUCGGAGCGGCUGCGCUGACGCUCCUCGGUGUCGACCCGGUCGUGGUGAUCGUCGCGGGGCUCCUCGCCGGGAUGGUGCUGGGCCUCGUGCGGACAACGGAGGGAGAUCGCGCCUGGCUCCAGGGCAUCAUGGUCGCAAGCUUGCCGGCGACCAUCGCCUCUCCCGUCGCAGCGAUCGGUUCGGUCUCGCUCGUGGGGUUGUUCGGGUUGUUUCUGAAGGUCGGGACCUUCUCGUUCGGGUCGGGUUACGUCCUGCUUGCAUUCCUGCGCACCGACGUCGUGGCAACCGGCCUGUUGACCAACCAGCAAUUGCUCGACGCCACCGCGGUGGGCCAGGUCACGCCGGGCCCGGUCUACACGACGGCCACGUUCAUCGGCUACCUGCUGCUCGGAGCGCCGGGUGCCGUCGUCGCGACGGUCGCCAUCUUCCUGCCGGCCUUCGUUGGCGUGGCGCUGGUCAGUCCAUUGAUCCCGCAGCUCCGUGCACAGCCCAUUGCCGCGGCGGUCUUGGACGUAAUCGGCGCCGUGGCCCUCGGAUUGAUCGCCGCAGUGACGAUCGAGCUGGCACGAAGCGCACUCGUCGACGCGGUGACGAUCUCGAUCGCCGUGGUUUCACUGGUCAUCCUGAUGCGCCGUCCGCGUGCCGCGGUGCCGCUGCUGCUGGCCGGCGGCGUGCUGGGGUUCGCAGGUAAUGCGGUGCAUCUCGUCUGAGCACCCUGCUCCGCGCCUAGCGGUAGUUCGAGAAGAUGUGAUCGUUGGUUCCACGGACGAACAGCCACAGGUGCCCGACCAGGACGGUCGGCGCGACCCCAUACCACGUCGAGCCGUCGCCCGGGAUCUCCGACCAGCCGAGCCACAGGUCGUUGUACCGGUUCGCGUAGAUGUGAUUGUCACCGCUGCCUCCCCGGGCCAGGAGCCACAUGAAUCCGCCGAAUGAGACGGCGGCCGGACGCGCCCCGGUGCUCUGCCCGCCGGGAACUUGCACCCAACCCAACCAGGAAUUGCCGAAGUACCGGCCGUGGUGGAUCUUCAGAUCAUCGCCCGUGACGAACAGCCACAGGCGGUUGUUGUAGACCGCGGCCGCAGGCGUGGUCUGUGCCGUUCCGUUGCCGGGAACGGGGGCCGAGGACGACCAGGACGUCCCGUCGAAGAUGCUCCGGUUGAUGUGGAGAUCGUGGUCCAACACGAACAGCCAAAGCUUGUUGUUAUACGCAGCGGCGCCUGUACCGGCUUCCGUCGUCGGUGCUCCCGGUACCUGCGCCCAUGGUGACCAGUCGGUCCCGUUGAAUCGGGUCCGGUAGACGUGCUUGUUACUGGAACUCGUGGCAAACACCCAGAGCCGAUUCCCGUAGACGACCGCGGUCGGUUCCGAGAGCGAGG
This 1649-nucleotide unclassified non-coding RNA is filed under the name uncultured fungus. RNAcentral describes it as "sequence contains 18S rRNA gene, ITS1, 5.8S rRNA gene, ITS2, 28S rRNA gene". The record is from RNAcentral. Lineage: Eukaryota; Fungi.